This 218-nucleotide ribosomal RNA is filed under the name uncultured bacterium. RNAcentral's name for it is "partial 16S ribosomal RNA". It matches the Rfam family "Bacterial small subunit ribosomal RNA", at positions 524 to 740 of the family's 1533-position model. The record is from RNAcentral.
UACGGAGGAUCCAAGCGUUAUCCGGAAUCAUUGGGUUUAAAGGGUCCGUAGGCGGUUUAGUAAGUCAGUGGUGAAAGCCCAUCGCUCAACGGUGGAACGGCCAUUGAUACUGCUAGACUUGAAUUAUUAGGGAAGUAACUAGAAUAUGUAGUGUAGCGGUGAAAUGCUUAGAGAUUACAUGGAAUACCAAUUGCGAAGGCAGGUUACUACUAAUGGAU